This 253-nucleotide ribosomal RNA is filed under the name uncultured microorganism. RNAcentral's name for it is "partial 16S ribosomal RNA". It matches the Rfam family "Bacterial small subunit ribosomal RNA", at positions 524 to 776 of the family's 1533-position model. The record is from RNAcentral.
UACGUAGGGUGCGAGCGUUACUCGGAAUUACUAGGCGUAAAGCGCGUGUAGGCGGUUUGUCGCGUCUGCCGUGAAAGUCCGGGGCUCAACUCCGGAUCUGCGGUGGGUACGGGCAGACUAGAGUGAUGUAGGGGAGACUGGAAUUCCUGGUGUAGCGGUGAAAUGCGCAGAUAUCAGGAGGAACACCGAUGGCGAAGGCAGGUCUCUGGGCAUUAACUGACGCUGAGGAGCGAAAGCAUGGGGAGCGAACAGG